Molecule: small nucleolar RNA, 150 nt
Organism: Raphanus sativus (radish)
Lineage: Eukaryota; Viridiplantae; Streptophyta; Magnoliopsida; Brassicales; Brassicaceae
Product: small nucleolar RNA F1/F2/snoR5a
Exons: 1
Source: RefSeq, a predicted model, not a curated record
CAAUGCCCUUAGGUAUCUGGUGGCUAGAAUUAAACAUUUGUUUCUGGUCACUUCGUUUUUCUAGGGCAUAAACUAAAUCACUUACAGGUCUUGCGACACAGUUUGCUUUAGUUCCAUAAGCUUACUGUUACUUUAACCCUGUUUACAUUU